CAUAUACUCCCUCCGUCCGGAAAUACUUGUCCUAGAAAUACAUGUAUCUAGACUUAUUUUAGUUAUAAAUACAUUCAUUUUAAUUAUUUCUAGGACAAGUAUUUCCGGACGGAGGGAGUAUAAA
This 124-nucleotide microRNA precursor is filed under the name Hordeum vulgare. RNAcentral's name for it is "microRNA MIR1122". It matches the Rfam family "MIR1120/MIR1122 microRNA precursor family". The record is from RNAcentral. Lineage: Eukaryota; Viridiplantae; Streptophyta; Magnoliopsida; Poales; Poaceae.